RNAcentral lists this unclassified non-coding RNA (198 nucleotides) under soil metagenome. RNAcentral describes it as "partial contains 5.8S ribosomal RNA, internal transcribed spacer 2, and large subunit ribosomal RNA". The record is from RNAcentral.
AACGCACGAGACCUGCGGACCUGCGGAAGGAUCAUUAUCAAUUUACAGCGGACUUCGGUCCUGUCUGCACCCUUGUCUUUUGCGUACUAUAUGUUUCCUCGGUGGGCUUGCCUGCCGAUAGGACACUUAUAAACUCUUUUGUAAUUGCAAUCAGCGUCAGAAAACUAUAAUAGUUACAACUUUCAACAACGGAUCUCU